Cymbomonas tetramitiformis is the source of this 72-nucleotide non-coding RNA. The record is from the annotation of a GenBank genome assembly. NCBI's taxonomy places the organism in Eukaryota, Viridiplantae, Chlorophyta, Pyramimonadophyceae, Pyramimonadales, Pyramimonadaceae.
GCUUCGAUAGCUCAGUGACAGAGCAAGUGGCCGACACCCAUGAGGUCACCGGAUCGAAACCGGCUUGGGGCA